Molecule: long non-coding RNA, 834 nt
Organism: Pecten maximus
Lineage: Eukaryota; Metazoa; Mollusca; Bivalvia; Pectinida; Pectinidae
Exons: 4
Source: RefSeq, a predicted model, not a curated record
UUAUAGAGAGGUAUCCUUUAUAGAGAGGUAUCCUUUAUAUAGAGAGUUACCUAUCAGCGAGCUAUAUGUCCUUUAUAGAGAGGUAUCCUUUAUAUAGAGAGUUACCUAUCAGCGAGCUAUAUGUCCUUUAUAGAGAGGUAUCCUUUAUAGAGAGUUAUCCUUUAUAGAGGGGUAUCCUUUAUAGAGAGGUAUCCUUUAUAUAGAGAGUUACCUAUCAGCGAGCUAUAUAUCCUUUAUAAAGAGGUAUCCUUUAUAUAGAGUUACCUAUCAGCAAGCUAUAUGUCCUUUAUAGAGAGGUAUCCUUUAUAAAGAGGUAUCCAUUAUAUAGAGAGUUACCUAUCAGCGAGCUAUAUGUCCUUUAUAGAGAGGUAUCCAUUAUAUAGAGAGUUACCUAUCAGCCAGCUAUAUGUCCUUUAUAGAGAGGUAUCCUUUAUAGAGAGGUAUCCUUUAUAAAGAGGUAUCCAUUAUAUAGAGAGUUACCUAUCAGCCAGCUAUAUGUCCUUUAUAGAGAGGUAUCCUUUAUAAAGAGGUAUCCAUUAUAUAGAGAGUUACCUAUCAGCGAGCUAUAUGUCCUUUAUAGAGAGGUAUCCUUUAUAGAGAGAGUUACCUAUCAGCCAGCUAUAUGUCCUUUAUAGAGAGGUAUCCUUUAUAGAGAGGUAUCCUUUAUAAAGAGGUAUCCAUUAUAUAGAGAGUUACCUAUCAGCCAGCUAUAUGUCCUUUAUAGAGAGGUAUCCUUUAUAAAGAGGUAUCCAUUAUAUAGAGAGUUACCUAUCAGCGAGCUCUAUGUCCUUUAUAGAGAGGUAUCCUUUAUAAAGAGAGUUACCUAUCAGCGAG